GUGAGGAGGCUGGGCAUAGGGAGAGGGGGUGGAUAGAGCAGCCAUGGUGUGGACAUGGGCUGAACACUCACCUCUCUGUACCCUCCAG
This 88-nucleotide microRNA precursor is filed under the name Myotis lucifugus (little brown bat). RNAcentral's name for it is "miRNA (ENSMLUG00000020491.1)". Lineage: Eukaryota; Metazoa; Chordata; Mammalia; Chiroptera; Vespertilionidae. The record is from RNAcentral.